Molecule: ribosomal RNA, 417 nt
Filed under: uncultured bacterium
Lineage: Bacteria
Description: bacterial SSU rRNA
Rfam family: Bacterial small subunit ribosomal RNA
Source: RNAcentral
CCUGAAAGGGCAGGGUGCCCGCAAGGGAGCGUGGAGACAGGUGGUGCAUGGCUGUCGUCAGCUCGUGUCGUGAGAUGUUGGGUUAAGUCCCGCAACGAGCGCAACCCUCACCCCUAGUUGCCACCGGGUAAAGCCGAGCACUCGAGGGGAACUGCCAGCGUCAAGCUGGAGGAAGGCGGGGAUGACGUCAAGUCAUCAUGCCCCUUACGCCCUGGGCCACACACGUGCUACAAUGGCCAGUACAAAGGGAUGCGAGACCGCAAGGUGGAGCUAAUCCCAGAAAGCUGGUCUAAGUUCGGAUUGCAGUCUGCAGCUCGACUGCAUGAAGUAGGAAUCGCUAGUAAUCGCGCAUCAGCACGGCGCGGUGAAUACGUUCCCGGGCCUUGUACACACCGCCCGUCACACCACGAAAGCUGU